GUCAGGGUGGCCCAGCCUGGUACGGCGCCGGCCUGCUAAGCCGGUUCUCGCAAGAGAUCCGGGGUUCAAAUCCCCGCCCUGACGCCA
This 87-nucleotide transfer RNA is filed under the name Methanomicrobia archaeon. RNAcentral's name for it is "tRNA-Ser". It matches the Rfam family "tRNA". Rfam says of the family: Transfer RNA (tRNA) molecules are approximately 80 nucleotides in length. Their secondary structure includes four short double-helical elements and three loops (D, anti-codon, and T loops). The record is from RNAcentral. Lineage: Archaea; Methanobacteriati; Methanobacteriota; Methanomicrobia.